Molecule: ribosomal RNA, 460 nt
Filed under: uncultured bacterium
Lineage: Bacteria
Description: partial 16S ribosomal RNA
Rfam family: Bacterial small subunit ribosomal RNA
Source: RNAcentral
CCUACGGGUGGCUGCAGUGAGGAAUAUUGGUCAAUGGACGAGAGUCUGAACCAGCCAAGUAGCGUGAAGGACGACUGCCCUAUGGGUUGUAAACCUCUUUUAUAGGGGACUAAUAAGUUCUACGUGUGGCAUUAUGCAUGUACCAUAUGAAUAAGCAUCGGCUAACUCCGUGCCAGCAGCCGCGGUAAUACGGAGGAUCCGAGCGUUAUCCGGGUUUAUUGGGUUUAAAGGGUGCGUAGGGGGGUUGUUAAGUUAAUUGUGAAAGUGUGGGGCUUAAACUUUGAAUUGCAAUUGAAACUGGCAGUCUUGAGUACAGUAGAGGUAGGCGGAAUAAGUGAUGUAGCGGUGAAAUGCUUAGAUAUAACGUAGAACUCCGAUAGCGAAGGCAGCUCACUAGACUGCGACUGACGCUGAAGCACGAGAGUGUGGGUAGCGAACAGGAUUAGAUACCCGUGUAGUC